Molecule: small nuclear RNA, 79 nt
Filed under: Fukomys damarensis (Damara mole-rat)
Lineage: Eukaryota; Metazoa; Chordata; Mammalia; Rodentia; Bathyergidae
Description: U2 spliceosomal RNA
Source: Rfam by way of RNAcentral
AUCGCUUCUCGGCCUUUUGGCUAAGAUCAAGUGUAGUAUAUAAGAUUCACACAUAAGAAUUAUAAACAUAGCACACAUA